This is a long non-coding RNA of Lontra canadensis (Northern American river otter), 277 nucleotides long. RefSeq lists it as uncharacterized. The transcript is spliced from 3 exons. The record is from RefSeq and is a predicted model, not a curated record. NCBI's taxonomy places the organism in Eukaryota, Metazoa, Chordata, Mammalia, Carnivora, Mustelidae.
AGAUAACAACUCUCCUCCAAGGAAUCAUGUGCUGGAGGGGAGGGUUGGGUCUGCUCUGCGUCUAUGUGAGUGUUUGAGCCAUCCUAGUAGAAUGAUAAUCUCAUCUAGUAAAGUGGUAUCUCCUUGUAAUUUUAAUUUGUAGUUCCCUAAUAGCUAGUGAUGAGAGAGAGAGUGCAAGCACGUGGGGCAGCAGGCUGAGGAAGAGGGAAAAGCAGACUCACCACUGAGCAGGGAGCCUCAUGUGGGGCUCACCGUGGGGCUGGACACGAUGCUGGAC